RNAcentral lists this ribosomal RNA (253 nucleotides) under uncultured bacterium. RNAcentral describes it as "partial 16S ribosomal RNA". It matches the Rfam family "Bacterial small subunit ribosomal RNA", at positions 524 to 776 of the family's 1533-position model. The record is from RNAcentral.
UACAGGGGGGGCAAGCGUUGCUCGGAAUUACUGGGCGUAAAGGGCCAGUAGGCGGCCAACUAAGUCCGACGUGAAAUCCCUAGGCUUAACCUAGGAACUGCGUCGGAUACUGGAUGGCUUGAAUUCGGGAGAGGGAUGCAGAAUUCCAGGUGUAGCGGUGAAAUGCGUAGAUAUCUGGAGGAAUACCGGUGGCGAAGGCGGCAUCCUGGACCGACAUUGACGCUGAACGGCGAAAGCUAGGGGAGCAAACGGG